AACGAACGCUGGCGGCAGGCCUAACACAUGCAAGUCGAGCGAGGACUUCGGUUCUAGCGGCGGACGGGUGAGUAACGCGUGGGAAUGUGCCCUUCUCUACGGAAUAGCCCUGGGAAACUGGGAGUAAUACCGUAUACGCCCUAUUGGGGAAAGAUUUAUCGGAGAAGGAUCAGCCCGCGUUGGAUUAGGUAGUUGGUGGGGUAAUGGCCUACCAAGCCGACGAUCCAUAGCUGGUUUGAGAGGAUGAUCAGCCACACUGGGACUGAGACACGGCCCAGACUCCUACGGGAGGCAGCAGUGGGGAAUCUUAGACAAUGGGGGCAACCCUGAACGAGCCAUGCCGCGUGAGUGAUGAAGGCCUUAGGGUUGUAAAGCUCUUUCAGCUGGGAAGAUAAUGACGGUACCAGCAGAAGAAGCCCCGGCUAACUCCGUG
This 433-nucleotide ribosomal RNA is filed under the name uncultured bacterium. Its description in RNAcentral is "partial 16S ribosomal RNA". It matches the Rfam family "Bacterial small subunit ribosomal RNA", at positions 29 to 507 of the family's 1533-position model. The record is from RNAcentral.